This is a non-coding RNA of Aegilops tauschii subsp. strangulata, 4269 nucleotides long. The record is from RefSeq and is a predicted model, not a curated record. Lineage: Eukaryota; Viridiplantae; Streptophyta; Magnoliopsida; Poales; Poaceae.
UUUUCAGAAUGGACGGAAUAUUAAAAACAUUGGUCCUAAUUUCAAAACAUGUUCACGUUUCCAAGAAUAUUCGGCAAUUCGUAUUUUUAAAAAAGUUCAAAAAAGAUUUUAAAUCCGACGUUACACUAUGUUCUUAAAUAUUCGCGUUGGCCAUCGGUUAGCAGUAGGAGUUUGUUGUCGUGGCUAGCGGCACGUGGUCGGGUUUUAAGGUCUUAUGUUCGAUCGUUCAACACACAGUUUUUUUGAUUAUUACUCGUGCCUUGCAAACACAGUUAUUUCGGUGCAUGUCAGUGGGUUGGCCCAGACGUGAUCGGUUGUGCAUCCCAUGCGCUAUUUGAUGCAAUUAGCGUCAUAUAGUAGCUCCCACGCAGCUGCCCCAUGUACCUCUCUAAUUUUUUCGGUUAUUCCCCGGGUGGGUCAAAUUGGACCUACCAUGUAUUUCUUUUUCUGUCAGAUGGACAAGCAGCAAAAAUUAAAGGACGCGAGGGGAUUGAACUAUGGACCUUCCCUAUUGUGCCGAUGGCUAAAACCAACUCAGCUAGCUUGCAAUUAUGAUAGGAACAAUCCCAUCUUGGAAUUUUAUACUAAAUCACAUCAGUUUUUAUAUUUCUCUAAGUUGUCUGAAAAUAAGGAGGUUGUGUGAGAAUAAGGAAGUUGUCUCGAGAAUUGUGAGUAAAACGAGUUACUCCACAAUUUUUUUGCGCGGACACUCCACAAAUUAUUGCCGGAGAUUACUUGCACGUGCUAAUAAAAGACAAUAUGUUGGUUGGCUAUAAUGUAAAGAAAUUGCGGGCACGUGCUAAUAAAACAGAAUAUGUUGGUUUUGCUCUAAUUAAAAAAAAUCAUGGUACGUGAGCGGAAAAACAAUUAAAGAGAAUAAACCCUGAUAAUGAAGGAAUAUCCAUGCCUGGUUAUGCGCUGAUUAUGCUAAUGCAACAUAAUUUAUGCGCUGCAAUUAGUAAUCCAUCUGAUUACGUCAUCGUAGGAGAAAGUGAUCAAAACAACCGUGCCUCGAAAGCCGCCACGCAGCAACUAAAUGAGAACACAACCACAACUCUAAGACGGAGGUGGACCUGGAGGAAAAAAAAGUACCCGUUAGGUGGUCGCAGCCACGCCGACCAACCACACCACUAUCAAGAUCUCGCGGGUCAAGUAUGACCCGUGAGAAGACCGCAACUACUCACUCUGUCACCCAACGCCAUGGAGAGUGUUUUUUUAUGAACACGUCAAUUAUCUCUCCCGCUGUUUGUUGCAAAAAAAUCAUCUCCCCUUUGCAACGCAUGGGCAUAUGUGCUAGUUAAAAAAAAAAACACAGGAAGGGAAGCGCAGCGCAUCACCCCUCCACCGCUCAGAGCCCAGACCCCUUCUGCUCCCCCUCCGGCGGCGACAGUGGCGGGCGGCGGAGACGAGUGGCGGGCGGCGGAGACGAGCACGUGGAGCUAAGUCGUCACGGCGCACUAGCCACCCCCGCGUCGGCAACUUCACCAGCCCCCACCAGCUCAACCUCAUCGUGGCGUACGCACCCGCACAACCCCCCUCUCUCCGCUCCCUCCCUCGAAUCCCCGCCCGGCGCACAAGCCCACCAGCGUCAGCCACUCCUCCCGCCCGGCUGAGCUCGGCCUUGAUCCUUCCGCGUUCGAAUUCCCGGGGCCCUAGGGUUUUGCUCCCGGCUAGAGGCGGGCGCCUGAUAAAUUCCUCUUCGUCAAGUCGUUUUUUUUUCUGAUUAGCUGUCUGGGAGGAUCUGAGGUCAUGAGUGCAGGUGUACAGCACUAGUGCGCACAGUAUUUCUCUGGGUAAUCCGCAUCCUUCUGAAAGUUCCUUUGCAGUCCGAUUCCACCUUCCAGUCGGGUUCGAGGCUACCUAUAUAUCAUACACACAAUUGAGGUUAAGUAUCCCCUGCCAAAAUCGAUGGAGAAAGCUUCUGUUUGCGAUGAUUCUCCAGAUUCGAGCGCCGAUUGCGAUUGGUCCCAGCUUCAGGCUGACCUGCUCCUCCAGAUCUUUGGCACUCUUGAGAUCCCUGAUCUCUUCAGCUCAGGUGCGGUCUGUCGAUCAUGGCACCUCAUUUAUCUGGAGGCCCGCCGUCUCCGGCGGUGCUCGCCGAACCAGAGCCCCUGCCUUGUUUACUCAUCCGGCGACCGUGACGCUAACACGGUCACCAUGCAUAACAUGUCCACCACAAGCUUUACCACGUCACUCUAUCGGAGCCUGCCUUCCGCACAUGCCACGUCAUGGGCUCCUCCUAUGGCUGGCUCAUCACCGCCGACGAGCGGUCGAAUCUCAUACUAGUCAACCCUGUAACCAGAGCUCAGAUAGCUAUGCCUCCCCCUGAAACCAUGAACAAUGUUAGACUGCGCUACACUGAAGACGGUGUGCUAGACGGAUAUGAUGUUCUUUACAUGGAUCUGUUCUCUCGGGAUUUUGACACUGAAAUGGAGCCGUACCAUCUUACACUUGAAGAAGCCCGCUUCUACCUCUAUGCGAGGGUCGUUCUUUCUUGUGAUCCCUCGCAUGGAAACUGCACAGUUCUCGUAGUACAAUUGCCAAAGGAUCAACUCUCUUAUACUAGGGUUGGGGACACCAAAUGGACCUGGAUUGAUGCAAAUCCAAAUUGUAGGGCUUAUCAAGAUAUACUUUAUAACACUAAUGAUGGUUUGUUUUAUGGUGUUCGUGGUAGGGAUCAGGUUGAUACUAUUAAUCUUAAUGGACCUUCCGCUGAAGUGAAAGUUAUUUUGAAGCCGAUCAUAUCCUAUCAAGCGCAUAGUAGAUAUAUUGUUCAAGCACCAUGGGGAGAUUUUUUCCAGAUAUGGAGACAUGAUAAAUAUAAUAAGGAGAAUGGGAGAAAGGACCGGGUUGCAGACAAGUUUUUCGUGUACAAGAUUGAUUUUGUUGAACAAAGGUCGUCCAAACAAAUAACAUCCAAGAUCACGCAAUGUUCAUUGGUUACAACAGUUCAUUCAUGCUUCCAGUGAAAGACUUCUCUACGUUGAUUCCCAACAGCAUCUACCACACAGAUGACUUGCUGCAUUAUAUCUUCUGUCACAGAUUUGGUCUUAGGCAGGCCGUUGUCUUUAAUAUGAAAGAUAGCUGUUUCAUUGAGUUAUCGCCCCCUAGUUCAGAUUCAAGAUUAAACUGGCCACCCUCGGUUUGGAUUCAACCAUCACUUACUUGAGGCACCAGAGCAUUCACAUCUUGGAAAACAAACUUAUCUUGAGAAGGUGCAUCCCUUGGUCAUCACAACAGUUCAAAUAACAAGAAUAGUGCCUCUGCUGCGUCUAUUGUUUUAGUUGGUUCAAGUGAGGAACCCGGGAUAUCAAUAACUGUUCGUCAGGCAAAUGUAAGGAAACUUUUCGUUUGGUGUACCACCCAUGCCGAUGAAUAUCUUUAAUUUAUGCAGACAGUUUGACCACUACUAGUCCACUGUUUCAGCAAAGGUUUAUUGCUGAUGGAAUUGAAACUUUGGUCAGGAUAGGUAUCCCAGUUAUCGCUGCCAUCUCCUUGUGGUGGAACUGUUUGUUCUUUGGUCGGUACCUGACCUUGUUCAUUAUAGGUGGACUUGUUGGAGAAAAUUUCGCCGUCAAGCAAAUCUUUCCCUUGCUCGGGAUUCUUGUUAUAAUCUCAUGUAUCGAUUCCUCCAUGAUGAGUAAUCCAGAGCCACGACAUAGUACAAUAGAGUGAUGGCUUUUCUGCUUUGCAAAGCCUUGUAUCAAUCAAUUCUUCCAGCAAGUAUUUUGGUAGGAAAAACUAUCUUUCGGAACAAUGGGUAUAGUCAUUGGUGAAAAAUAGAUAGAUUGGGGAUUCUGUUGGAGAUAAGACUAUGAAUACGGCGUUUCCAAAUGCUCUAGAGGGUGGUUUAGGAUAGUUAGCGGACGGGCUCCCUUGAACUUGUUGGUGCCGGCGCGUUCAGCUGCGGUUUGGACUCUCGAACCAGGACUGGAAGUCUCAUCCGGCUGUGAGACGAUCUGCUGCAGAGAGGACCUGAUGCAAAACCUGCCUGGAGUAAGGAGGGGCAGCUGCGCUGAUUGGUGAGGCCAUGCCGCUCUUGCCUGUAUGCGGUUGUCACAGCUAUCUGGUUGGACUUGCACCAGGCCCCCAACCGACGUUCGUUUAGCGAACGGUCAGUUCAGAAUUUUGAAUUUGAAAUCUUGCAUUUAAUGCGUUAUUAUUGCCUAGCAUGUACACGUGCUAUACGCCAUUCGUGUACAUCCAGAUAGAAACGAUUUGUUUGAGUGAGGACCAUUUUUUUGAGUGGAGGGAGCAUUGUGUUAGAAA